This 465-nucleotide ribosomal RNA is filed under the name uncultured bacterium. Its description in RNAcentral is "partial 16S ribosomal RNA". It matches the Rfam family "Bacterial small subunit ribosomal RNA", at positions 28 to 507 of the family's 1533-position model. The record is from RNAcentral.
GACGAACGCUGGCGGCGUGCUUAACACAUGCAAGUCGAACGGAAAGGCCCUGCUUGCAGGGUACUCGAGUGGCGAACGGGUGAGUAACACGUGGGUUAUCUGCCCUGCACUUCGGGAUAAGCCUGGGAAACUGGGUCUAAUACCGGAUAGGAGCCAUUUUUAGUGUGAUGGUUGGAAAGUUUUUUCGGUGUAGGAUGAGCUCGCGGCCUAUCAGCUUGUUGGUGGGGUAAUGGCCUACCAAGGCGGCGACGGGUAGCCGGCCUGAGAGGGUGGACAGCCACAUUGGGACUGAGAUACGGCCCAGACUCCUACGGGAGGCAGCAGUGGGGAAUAUUGCACAAUGGGCGCAAGCCUGAUGCAGCGACGCCGCGUGGGGGAUGACGGCCUUCGGGUUGGAAACUCCUUUCGCUAGGGACGAAGCUUUUUGUGACGGUACCUAGAUAAGAAGCACCGGCUAACUACGUG